UACGUAGGGUGCGAGCGUUAAUCGGAAUUACUGGGCGUAAAGCGUGCGUAGGUGGCGCGUUAAGUGUGAUGUUAAAUCGUGGGGCUCAACCCUGUCGGUGCAUCACAUACUGGCGUGCUAGAGGACAGCAGAGGCAAGUGGAAUUAGCAGUGUAGCAGUGAAAUGCGCAGAUAUCAGGAGGAACACCGGUGGCGAAGGCGGAUCUCUGGGCCUUACCUGACGCUCAGGCGCGAAAGCUAGGGGAGCGAACUGG
This 253-nucleotide ribosomal RNA is filed under the name uncultured bacterium. RNAcentral's name for it is "partial 16S ribosomal RNA". It matches the Rfam family "Bacterial small subunit ribosomal RNA", at positions 524 to 776 of the family's 1533-position model. The record is from RNAcentral.